UCGAAAUGUGGACAGAACAUA
RNAcentral lists this non-coding RNA (21 nucleotides) under Caenorhabditis elegans. The record is from RNAcentral. Lineage: Eukaryota; Metazoa; Nematoda; Chromadorea; Rhabditida; Rhabditidae.